CAGUUAUUCCCUCCGUCCGGAAUUACUUGUCACCAAAAUGGAAAGAAAUGAAUGUAUCUAGAACUAAAAUAUAUCUAGAUACAUCCAUUCCUAUGACAAGUAAUUUCGAACAGAGGGAGUAAAUC
Hordeum vulgare subsp. vulgare (domesticated barley) is the source of this 125-nucleotide non-coding RNA. The record is from Rfam. Lineage: Eukaryota; Viridiplantae; Streptophyta; Magnoliopsida; Poales; Poaceae.